CAGAGGAACCUGUCCCGUAAUCGAUAAUCCACGUUGGACCUUACUUAAGUUUGUUUAGUUUAUAUACCGUCGUUAUAAAAAACUUUUUUAGAAAAAUAGUUUUUAAUAAUUAGAAUUAUAAUUUAUAUCAGAUCAAGGUGUAGCUUAUGCUUAAGAGGAGAUGGGUUACAAUAAAUUUAUUUAUAUGGAUUUUUCAUUGAAAUUGAAAAUGAAAGUGGAUUUGAAAGUAAAUUCUUAGAGAUAGAAGGGUUGAAAUUAGCUCUAAAGUAUGUAC
Molecule: ribosomal RNA, 274 nt
Filed under: Microconops tasmaniensis
Lineage: Eukaryota; Metazoa; Arthropoda; Insecta; Diptera; Conopidae
Description: partial 12S ribosomal RNA
Source: RNAcentral